This is a long non-coding RNA of Dendroctonus ponderosae (mountain pine beetle), 1581 nucleotides long. RefSeq lists it as uncharacterized. The transcript is spliced from 2 exons. The record is from RefSeq and is a predicted model, not a curated record. NCBI's taxonomy places the organism in Eukaryota, Metazoa, Arthropoda, Insecta, Coleoptera, Curculionidae.
UGUCUAGAAUCCAUAGCAAAAACAGAGUUUUCUGAAAUGUAUUAACAAAAAUCAUUCAGUUUCAUAAUUCAAACAUUCAAAUCGGCACAUAAUAUCAGAAAACUCUGCAUCCAUUUUUGAAUCUAACCAUUCCUUAGUUACCUUCUUAUCAGGGGUUUAAGAAAAAAACGAUCUCUAUGUUGCUUUCCUUCUAGAUCGUUAGCAGAUAAUUUCGGGGGGGAAAACUUACACAAGUAGAGGUGUAUGAAAGCGAAUCGUUUCAGUUUUUUCUUAUUGUAGUAUUAAAAAGGUGUAAAGAAUCCUUAGCAAAAACAGAGUUAUGUGAAAUUUAUUUAUUAACAAAGCAUACAUUUCAGGAAUAUUCAAUUAAAGUUCGACGUUUCAACCCUACUGUUGUUUUAUCCCCAGAGCACACCACAGAAAUGUCUCGACCAGUUGACAUAAAAACCAUUCAACCCUGUUCAAAUAAACUGUGUCUUCGUUAAUGUUCCAAUCUCAACAUCAACCGUGCAAGGUUUCUGCAUCUAUGGCUUCGUCAGAAAAUUCAACUCGUAAAUACUCCAGAACUUUUUUGGAACGCGAUAUUCGUUGGUAAUUUUUUCUCUGCUUUAAGUCUCAUAACGAAGCUAUGAUUUCAUAGCCAGAAAAAGAUGAUAGGAGAAAUUUCCGCGAAAAUCCUUUCACUCGGUUCUUCAUUGUACUUCGGCCUGUGAAAUCGUACCGUAGGUUAAAGAACUCGCCUUGUAUACAGUUUGUAUUCAUUCUCGUUCGAGAGAAUGUGGUGCACGUUGUACAUGACCAGAAGGUAACAUUUGCGAGUAGUCGACUUCGUAUCACCAUCAGCAAGUCGACGUUUCAGUACGUGAUGGCGGUUCGAAACGCUCCCUACAAGAAGUACUGAAGUACUUUCUGAAAAAGAGCAUCGGUCAGUGUCUGAAAUGUGUGUGUCGUUUAAUUUUUCCGCGUCAUUCUACGUGAAGAGUUUCCGGCUGAUAUGCGGCUAACAUUUCUUUUGUAACGGGGUCAAACGAAGAUUGUUGGGAGCCCAUGCGAUAAGAGGCAGUACAUACCAACGACUCAAUAAACUAUGAUGCGCGCAAUCAUGCGAAAUUGUAUUUUAACUUCUGUGCAUUUCAAUGCAGCUUUUGGCUUUGCGCCAAUCAAACCCGGAAUGGUCGUCAAGCACAUGGUUUAUUUUAAAUAACGAGUUCAAUGCCUGUGGGGAAAACAUAUCCUUUUUACACACAAAAGUUACUGUUAUCAAUUGGCCAAACAAAGGCCAAAUUUUUUAUCAUUUGAAAAUUUAGUGGUCCUGUAUAAAGUCAACAAUCAGUUUUGUUAUACUUACUUUUCACAAAUAAAAUUUGUGUGGGUGAUUUAUUUGGAAACUGUAGGUACAUGAAGCUACUUUGUAAAUGUUAACUUCUUACAAAAAUCAGUUUAUAAUUACAGUUAUUGGUUAAGCAUACGAUUGAUUGAUUAAUUCAUAUUGUAUUCACAUCUUUUGUAGCUGCAAAAAAAUUGAGUGCCAGUUUGCCGGUGGACCGCCCUGUACAUUGUUAUUAAAAUAUUUAUAUUAUA